This 62-nucleotide transfer RNA is filed under the name Mucochytrium quahogii. Its description in RNAcentral is "labyrinthulid quahog parasite QPX tRNA". It matches the Rfam family "tRNA", at positions 6 to 65 of the family's 71-position model. From Rfam's summary of the family: Transfer RNA (tRNA) molecules are approximately 80 nucleotides in length. Their secondary structure includes four short double-helical elements and three loops (D, anti-codon, and T loops). Further hydrogen bonds mediate the characteristic L-shaped molecular structure. tRNAs have two regions of fundamental functional importance: the anti-codon, which is responsible for specific mRNA codon recognition, and the 3' end, to which the tRNAs corresponding amino acid is attached (by aminoacyl-tRNA synthetases). tRNAs cope with the degeneracy of the genetic code in two manners: having more than one tRNA (with a specific anti-codon) for a particular amino acid; and 'wobble' base-pairing, i.e. permitting non-standard base-pairing at the 3rd anti-codon position. Lineage: Eukaryota; Bigyra; Thraustochytrida; Thraustochytriidae. The record is from RNAcentral.
UUGUAGCAAAGUGGCAUUGCGUCUGAUUCGUAAUCAGAAGAUCGGGAGUUCAAUUCUCCCCA